Molecule: ribosomal RNA, 1251 nt
Filed under: Triticum aestivum (bread wheat)
Lineage: Eukaryota; Viridiplantae; Streptophyta; Magnoliopsida; Poales; Poaceae
Description: partial small subunit ribosomal RNA
Source: RNAcentral
AUGCUGACGGUGUCAUCCAUGGUGCCACCACGUCAACCUCAACCUGGGGGAUCCCCUUCCCGCGCGGCGUUCUUCUACGCCACGAUCUACAUGGUGGCGCUGGCGCAGGGCUUCCACAAGCCCAAUGCGCAGGCCCUCGGCGCGGACCAGUUCCCCCGGAGCUCCCCGGACAGCAUCGCGUCCCGCAGCUCUUUCUUCAACUGGCUCCACUUCGCCAUGUGGUGGGGGUUCAUUGUCGCCGUCGUCGGGCUGAGCUACGUGCAGGACAACGUCGGCUGGGAUGCCGUGUUCGGGGCAUCCUGGGCCAUGAUGCUCGCGUCCAUGUCCUUGUUCUUGCUCGGCACGGGCAUGUAUCGUGUCGCCGAGCAGCCACGCGACCGGCGUGCUCUCGCGAGGCUCACGAGAACGUUUGCAGCUACGGCGCGUACAUGGACAGACAUGGUCUUUCGUCGCAGCGCCGCCAUGGACGAUGAAUGUUUGCUGAGGCCAAAAGAGCAGGAAGGCAAGGGGGUCAUGGUGAAGCUGCUUCCGAUAUGGAUGACCAGCGUCGUGUACGCAAUGGUGAUCGUGCAGGUGUCCACUCUGUUCACCAAGCAGGGCAGCACCAUGGACCGGCGCAUCGGCGCGACCACAGGCCUAGUCGUGCCCCCGACGGCGCUGCAGAGCUUCGUGGGCCUGGCCAUCAUCGCGUCCGUCCCGGUCUACGACCGCGCGUUCGUGCCCCUCGCGAGGCGCGUGACCAAGCACCCCUCCGGGAUCACCAUGCUCCAGCGCAUCGGCGCCGGCAUGGCCAUCGCGACCGUCGCCAUGGCCGUCGCGGGGCUCGUGGAGGCCGCGCGCCUCCGCGAGGCCAGGGACGCCAGCCUGGUGGACCGUCCGGGGGUGGCGGUGCCGAUGAGCCUGUGGUGGAUGGUGCCGCAGUACGUGCUGCUGGGCCUCGCCAACGUGUUCACCAUCGUGGGGCUGGAGGAGUUCUUCUACGACCAGGUGCCCGACGCGCUCCGGAGCGUCGGGCUCGCGCUCUGCAUGAGCAUCAUGGGCGUGGGGAGCUAUGCCAGCGGCGUGCUCGUGUCGGCGAUCGACUGGGCGACGAGGCGCACGGGGGAGAGCUGGUUCUCGGACAACCUCAACCGCGCCCACCUCGACUACUUCUACUGGGCUCUGGCCGGGGUCGCUGCUCUGGAGGUGCUCGUUUUCUUCUAUUUUUCCAGGAGAUACGUCUACACUAACAAACGCGACCUUGUAACGUAG